AACGCGAAGAACCUUACCUGGGUUUGACAUAUAUAUGACCGCUCCCGAAAUGGAGUUUCUCUUCGGAGCAUAUAUACAGGUGCUGCAUGGCUGUCGUCAGCUCGUGCCGUGAGGUGUUCGGUUAAGUCCGGCAACGAGCGCAACCCAUAUCACUAGUUGCCAGCGCGUAAUGGCGGGGACUUUAGUGAGACUGCCCGAGUCAAUCGGGAGGAAGGCGUGGACGACGUCAAGUCAGUAUGGCCCUUACACCCAGGGCUGCACACGUGCUACAAUGGCUACUACAGAAGGCAGCAAUACCGCGAGGUGGAGCUAAUCCGAGAAAAGUAGCCCCAGUUCGGAUUGGAGUCUGCAACUCGACUCCAUGAAGUCGGAAUCGCUAGU
RNAcentral lists this ribosomal RNA (381 nucleotides) under uncultured bacterium. RNAcentral describes it as "bacterial SSU rRNA". It matches the Rfam family "Bacterial small subunit ribosomal RNA", at positions 958 to 1339 of the family's 1533-position model. The record is from RNAcentral.